AGAAAGAGCUUGCUAGCUUGGUGGCCCUCACAGAUCAAGUCGGUUAUGCAAUUUGUAUAGGAAUAAAUAAUUGAAGAAGAUGCAGUGAAAUUUGUUUGCCGAGAAGCUAAGCAGAUGCACUGAAGUCAUCUUGUGUCAUUCCAUAUCAUGCUACAUUGCCCUAACCUGCACUGCUUUCAUUGAUUUAGACGCUUUUUAAUUUGUUGCAUCGUUUGAAUUGUAAGACCUUGUGAUAUUUUCUGAAGAUUUGUAUAAGUUUGUAA
This is a long non-coding RNA of Zea mays, 263 nucleotides long. RefSeq lists it as uncharacterized. NCBI's taxonomy places the organism in Eukaryota, Viridiplantae, Streptophyta, Magnoliopsida, Poales, Poaceae. The record is from RefSeq and is a predicted model, not a curated record. The transcript has 2 exons.